Molecule: ribosomal RNA, 525 nt
Filed under: uncultured bacterium
Lineage: Bacteria
Description: bacterial SSU rRNA
Rfam family: Bacterial small subunit ribosomal RNA
Source: RNAcentral
CUAAGAAUAUUCCGCAAUGGGAGGAAUCCUGACGGAGCGACGCCGCGUGAAUGAAGAAGGCAGAAAUGUUGUAAAGUUCUUUUUUAUGGGAAGAAUAAGGUAUAGAGUGGAAAGCUGUACUGAUGACGGUACCAUAAGAAUAAGCCACGGCUAACUACGUGCCAGCAGCCGCGGUAAUACGUAGGUGGCAAGCGUUGUUCGGAUUUAUUGGGCGUAAAGGGCAUGUAGGUUGUUUAGCAAGUGUGAAUUUAAAUAUCUGGGCUUAACCUGGUUAUGGUUUGCAAACUGCUAGACUAGAGUUCGGUAGGGGAGACUGGAAUUCCGCGUGUAGGGGUGAAAUCUGUAGAUAUGCGGAGGAAUACUUGUGGCGAAGGCGAGUCUCUGGGCCGAUACUGACACUGAAAUGCGAAAGUGUGGGGAGCGAACAGGAUUAGAUACCCUGGUAGUCCACACUGUAAACGUUGCACACUGGGUGUCUGCGAUGUAAUUGUGGGUGCCGUAGCUAACGCGUUAAGUGUGCCGCCU